RNAcentral lists this transfer RNA (77 nucleotides) under Candidatus Campylobacter infans. Its description in RNAcentral is "tRNA-Arg". It matches the Rfam family "tRNA". Rfam says of the family: Transfer RNA (tRNA) molecules are approximately 80 nucleotides in length. Their secondary structure includes four short double-helical elements and three loops (D, anti-codon, and T loops). The record is from RNAcentral. Lineage: Bacteria; Pseudomonadati; Campylobacterota; Epsilonproteobacteria; Campylobacterales; Campylobacteraceae.
GCGCUCGUAGCUCAACUGGAUAGAGCGACAGACUUCGGAUCUGUAGGUUGUGGGUUCGACUCCUACCUGGCGCACCA